AUUGAACGCUGGCGGCAGGCCUAACACAUGCAAGUCGAACGAGUGGCGGACGGGUGAGUAAUGUCUGGGAAACUGCCUGAUGGAGGGGGAUAACUACUGGAAACGGUAGCUAAUACCGCAUACCAUCAGAUGUGCUCAGAUGGGAUGAGCUAGUUGGUGGGGUAACGGCUCACCAAGGCGACGAUACCUAGCUGGUCUGAGAGGAUGAACGGCCACACUGGGACUGAGACACGGUCCAGACUCCUACGGGAGGCAGCAGUAGGGAAUAUUGGGCAAUGGACGCAAGCCUGAUGCAGCCAUGCCGCGUGUAUGAAGAAGGCCUUCGGGUUGUAAAGUUCUUUCAGCGGAGAGGCGUUACCCAAAGAGGAAGCACCGGCUAACUCCGUGCCAGCAGCCGCGGUAAUAC
Molecule: ribosomal RNA, 406 nt
Filed under: uncultured bacterium
Lineage: Bacteria
Description: partial 16S ribosomal RNA
Rfam family: Bacterial small subunit ribosomal RNA
Source: RNAcentral